This 2176-nucleotide long non-coding RNA is filed under the name Nicotiana tabacum (common tobacco). RNAcentral's name for it is "long non-coding RNA (NTAB_LNC003720)". Lineage: Eukaryota; Viridiplantae; Streptophyta; Magnoliopsida; Solanales; Solanaceae. The record is from RNAcentral.
UAGUCAUGGCUAAAUAUUAAAAGAAAAUAAUUAAUUAACAAUAAUGUAUUCAAAGUAACAUCGACGCUCAUUCCAAUACUUUAAUUCCCAGUACAGUACAAACAAUUUGAAUCAAACACAUAGUUACUUCAACAUUCAAUCACAUAAAUUUUCCCUUGAAAGUUCCCAAAACAAUCAUCGUCGGUCAUAGUUUUAGCUUUAGUGUUCAUGUUUUCCUCAAGUCCAGGAUUCCUCUGAAUUAUUUGCCCUCACAUUCCUCUAAACUCUUCUUCCAAGAACUAAAAUUGAAAAAGAAAAGAACCAUUACUAAACUGAUUUACGAAAACUAUUAAGUAGCAAAAAGAACAAUGCGAUUGUACAUCAUAUAAUUUCUUGAAGAAAUACAGGAGUCAUGCGACUACUACUAUCUGCAAGAAAACAUAAAGCCAUAUUCAAUAGUAGAAGCUUAAGAGAACUAAAUCAAUUUGGCAUCAUUAGCUUAUGGAAAAGAUCAUUCCACUAAUAGAGAUGGAGUUACAUACAACUGUAGGAAGUAUUUCACAAAUGAUGUACCGUUCUCAUCCAGCCGUUAGGUGAACAUCUUUUGUAAUCUUUUCCUAAAUGCCAUAUUUCAUUGUCCCGAGAAUGGUGGAUAAUACUUUCUAUAAGCAAAAUCAAAGAGAAAUAACAUAAAAAAUAUUAUUCUCCAGUCUUAAGGUAUCAUAUGUAGAAAGAAACGAUAUCAAGAUCACCUUGACAAAAUAGAAUUUUUAAUCAACUUGAGGCAAAUAAUAAUAAUUUUGCAGAAAGCUCAAGAUAUUUGAACCCGAAACUCCUAACAGUGCAGAAAAGGAACUAGCAAUCACUAGUAUCAUUGUACAGGCUUACUAAUUCCUUCUCUACUCCUGAAUUCAACAGAAUGAUUGAUCAAUUUCAGUCCUAACAUCAAUGCCAAUGUUCCUUAUCCAACAUAAAUUGUUAAUAAAGCUGAUAUUCACAAGAUACCCUACACCAUCCACAAUCUAAAUCAUCAAACACAUAAUCGUAAUGGUCAUUUACCUUCCCUUCAUAAACAAGUAUCUACAAGCUUCUUUUCCAUUCAACCAUCACAAACAAGAUUCUUUUCCAAUCUAAUUUACCGUGCUGUUUGGAUUAGAGUCGCCAUCAAGCACAACCACAAUAAUUCUAACACAAGACAAGUUACUAUAUAAUAUCCUUCUGUUGGAACCAACAUCACAUGAUUCAGCAGCGAAUAAGGUUCAACACAUUAAAAAAGUCUUAACAUGUCAAAAAUACCAAGAUCAAGAUUAAACUAGUAAUCUAUAUCUUAUCAGACAUUUCAUAUCAAUUUAAUAUUCAGUUGUUUUCUCUUUUAUAGGAAAACAAUACAGAGUGCCAUUUCAUUGGCUCAAUAUAGAAUAGUUUGUCAGUAACAAAUACUAAUCAAACAAACUAUCUAGUUGAAGCAAAAACAGUCCUAUAAUUUAAUUCAUUACCUUUUACGUCGUUUGAUAAAUGUCGUAUGUACUAGUAAAUGGAUUCAAGGUUUUAUAGCAGUAAGAACGAUGAACAACCAAAUAAUGUUAAUAAUCUCAUCACUACCAUUACAAAAUCAGUUCAACAUGAAAAGAUGAAUCAAAGGAAGUGCAAACUUUAAUCUCAUGUUAAUAAAACAAAGCCAGCCCAUUAAAUUUUAUUUAAUCCUCUAAGGCAUUUGCUCAAACAGCUGAUAUGAACAGAAUACGACGGAAAUAAAAGAAAAGGUAGCAAAAAUUUUAAAGGCAGUUAACCAGAAAUUCAAUCCAGUGAACAACAGAUUAGAACAGAAAAAUACUUACCAAAAUCUUAAUAUCUUCAACCAGAUGUUUGAGAAUUACAGAGAAUAGAUUAAAUAUGGCAGUCGAUUGUGUGUAAAAGGAGGCCUAAAUUUUGGUGACCUUCUAUCAUGUUUAUCUUUCUAAGACAAUCUAACACCCAUGUAGUUUCCCCUUUCAAUUCUCCACACCACAUGGCGACCUCGACGGUUUAGUGAACAUAAAAUGGGGGACGCCUAAUUGGGGUUGAGGAAAGGGGAGAGAUUGGUAGGGUUCUUAGAGAAGACAGUCUUCGUAAUAGUGUUUAGUUCUGGAUUAAACAUUAUAAAGUUAGAAAAUUUCCUUCAUUAACAGUAAAUGUCAGUAAAUUUCGACUAAUAUUG